GACCAGCAAAAGAAAAGAAAAAACACACCCGUCCAACCCCCAAUCUCACCCUUCUCUCUCUCACCACUCACAUAGAACCCGUGCGCCGCCGCCUCCGACCUAAACCUAACUCGACCGCGCCGCCGCCCGUCCGCUUGUUCCCUCGCGCCACAUCAACUCCAACCCUGACCUUCCUCCCCGCAGGGCACCAUCCGCCCAGGAGCAGCAGCUCCAUCCGCUGCGCUGAGGAGUAGCAGCGCUGUCAAGCGCCACCGUACAGGAGCAGCAGCGCCGUCAAGCGCCACCAGACAGGAGCAGCAGAACCGUCCACCAGUAAGGAGAAGCAAGGCCGUCGGCCGCCGAGGAUCCAGCGCUGGUUUUCCUCCACCUGUGGCCUCUGUUCCGGCUGAUUUCCUUCCCUCCGCCCGGCCUGAGGUAAGCUUCUGGUGGUGGGGGCAAGUGAAGAAUUUACAUCGGUUCUGUUACAGGAACAGAGGAUGGUCCUCCUAAGCUGCUUAAUGGUACAAUUUGUAAUGUCAUUAUGAACAUUGGAUGCAUUAGACUGUCAUAAUACCUAGUUUCUAUCAAAAAGUAUCAUAAGUAAGGGCACAAUGUGGUGAUAGUAAAUCUGGUUUAUGGAAGAACAUUGAGUAUUUGGUUUCUAUAUUUAUAUAUGUAUAGCAGCACCCUAAUUAUGCAAAUAGUAUCAAAUCCCGAGCCUUAAUCAUGGCAACUAGCGGAAAAUGUAUGGUUUAGUUUGCAAGCACAUACAUGUGAAUAUUAUUCCAGCAAGAAUGCUAGCUGCUAGCAUAUAUCUAUCCCAGGUACUUUGCGGAUAGGCCAGCGGCAAGCCUUGUUUCUUCUUUUUAGAUUUUCCCUUGAUAUAUUCUCCUUGUUGAACUAACAAUUUUUGGCAUCCUGUGGCAUGCCACCAUUCUGCUGGUUGGAUCUUGGUUACAAUUAAGAUUCAGGAGAUGACUCUCUUUUAAUUGAAUGAUUUUUAAUUGGAUCUUGGUUACAAUUAAUAUUAAGUUGCUAAUGGCGAUGAUUUAUAUUUCGAUGAUGAUGACGGUGAUGAGCCAUUGAUGCUCGAGGAUGAAGCAGGGUUAGCCGAGGUCCUCGAAGCCUGUCUCUGACGCUGAUGGGUGGACCGCUCUGCUGCCUAGGCAUGAUCAGCCUGGGAAGUAGUAUUAAGGACAUGAGAAGCAAUACUUGGCGCUGUUUGGCCUGAAGGUAGAGUUGGAAUCCCUCUAGCCCAGCUCUAGGCAGGAGGUCGGUUGGAAUUGGAUCAGUAUCAGGAUUAGGAAGCAACCAAGUCACCCUUUUGAUCAACUAAAAUAGUAACAACAGUCAAUGGUGACUUGUGACCAUGAGGUCACGUGUUCAAGUCCUGGAAAGAGCCUCUUGUAGAAAUGUAGGGAAAGGCUGCGUACAAUAGACCCAAAGCGGUCGGACCCUUCCCCGGACCCUGCGCAAGUGGAGCUACAUGCACCGGGCUGCCCUUUUGACGCUUGCAGACCAUGUGAUGUUGCUUGCUUAUAUAUCAACAAGCACACGGCUCCGUGGGCGAGGAGGAUGACUGGGACCCCAACCCCAAGUCGACGACCCUGACCUCGACUUCCCACACAAGGGACAAAUGGUAGAAAGUAGCAAGUCCACAAGUUGAUCGAAGAUGUUCUCCUGAUUUCUUUUGUUGAAAACAGGGUUCACACAUUUUGUUCAUAUGGAAGUUGAUUUGGCUUGGUGAUUGAAGAGUUGGUCUUCCAUAAUAUUCUGUAGUAGUCAAGUGAUCAAGCAUUUGUCUCCUAGGAACUUUGGCCAUUAUGCUUGUAAUAACGUGCCUCUCUCGGUACUUAUAUCUGACUUGUGUAUACUUAAUGGCUGUAGCUAACUUCAGUGAAGAAAACUAAUGAAUCUUCUAUAUAUGUCGAAUGAAUGCAUUGAUCAA
Molecule: non-coding RNA, 1927 nt
Organism: Triticum urartu
Lineage: Eukaryota; Viridiplantae; Streptophyta; Magnoliopsida; Poales; Poaceae
Source: RefSeq, a predicted model, not a curated record